This 560-nucleotide ribosomal RNA is filed under the name uncultured Roseobacter sp. RNAcentral's name for it is "bacterial SSU rRNA". It matches the Rfam family "Bacterial small subunit ribosomal RNA", at positions 339 to 917 of the family's 1533-position model. The record is from RNAcentral. Lineage: Bacteria; Pseudomonadati; Pseudomonadota; Alphaproteobacteria; Rhodobacterales; Roseobacteraceae.
CUACGGGAGGCAGCAGUGGGGAAUCUUAGACAAUGGGCGCAAGCCUGAUCUAGCCAUGCCGCGUGAGUGAUGAAGGCCUUAGGGUCGUAAAGCUCUUUCGCUGGGGAAGAUAAUGACUGUACCCAGUAAAGAAACCCCGGCUAACUCCGUGCCAGCAGCCGCGGUAAUACGGAGGGGGUUAGCGUUGUUCGGAAUUACUGGGCGUAAAGCGCGCGUAGGCGGACUGGAAAGUUGGGGGUGAAAUCCCGGGGCUCAACCUCGGAACUGCCUUCAAAACUCCCAGUCUUGAGUUCGAGAGAGGUGAGUGGAACUCCGAGUGUAGAGGUGAAAUUCGUAGAUAUUCGGAAGAACACCAGUGGCGAAGGCGGCUCACUGGCUCGAUACUGACGCUGAGGUGCGAAAGUGUGGGGAGCAAACAGGAUUAGAUACCCUGGUAGUCCACACCGUAAACGAUGAAUGCCAGUCGUCGGCAAGCAUGCUUGUCGGUGACACACCUAACGGAUUAAGCAUUCCGCCUGGGGAGUACGGUCGCAAGAUUAAAACUCAAAGGAAUUGACGGA